Long non-coding RNA from Melitaea cinxia (Glanville fritillary), 274 nucleotides. RefSeq lists it as uncharacterized. The transcript is spliced from 3 exons. The record is from RefSeq and is a predicted model, not a curated record. Lineage: Eukaryota; Metazoa; Arthropoda; Insecta; Lepidoptera; Nymphalidae.
AUUUGCCAAACCCUGCCGCAUGACAGAUUUUUUAAUGGGCAGUUAGAACUAAAUAAUUUAAUUAACGAAUUAAUCGGAAAAGUGCGACGCCCCAACGACCUCAACGAAAAACGCCUCAAUUUCAUGUGUGGUGCUACUAAAGAAAAUGAGGCGAAAAAAUAAAAGACUCAAUUUGACGCUGUUGCUGUGAUGAUUGUAAUAUUGAAGAUUUAUUUGAAUGUGAUGUUUGUAAUAUUGAAGAUUGAGUUGAGAAGAUUAUAUUUAGUAUGUUGAA